Molecule: ribosomal RNA, 426 nt
Filed under: uncultured Chlamydiae bacterium
Lineage: Bacteria; Pseudomonadati; Chlamydiota; Chlamydiia
Description: bacterial SSU rRNA
Rfam family: Bacterial small subunit ribosomal RNA
Source: RNAcentral
AACGCGAAGAACCUUACCCAGGCUUGACAUGCACUAGACCGCACCAGAAAUGGUGCUUCCCUUCGGGGCUGGUGCACAGGUGCUGCAUGGCUGUCGUCAGCUCGUGCCGUGAGGUGUUUGGUUAAGUCCAGCAACGAGCGCAACCCUUAUCAUUAGUUGCCAACAUUUAAGGUGGGAACUCUAAUGAGACUGCCUGGGUUAACCAGGAGGAAGGUGAGGAUGACGUCAAGUCCGCAUGGCCCUUAUGUCUGGGGCUACACACGUGCUACAAUGGUCGGUACAGAAGGCAGCGAAACCGCGAGGCGAAGCAAAUCCCCAAAACCGACCCCAGUUCAGAUUGUAGUCUGCAACUCGACUACAUGAAGACGGAAUUGCUAGUAAUGGCGAGUCAGCAACAUCGCCGUGAAUACGUUCCCGGGCCUUGUA